Molecule: ribosomal RNA, 108 nt
Filed under: Salvator merianae (Argentine black and white tegu)
Lineage: Eukaryota; Metazoa; Chordata; Lepidosauria; Squamata; Teiidae
Source: RNAcentral
GCCAACAGUACUUAGCUGAUCUUGGUUGAUCUCAAAAAAACAAGCUAGGCCAGAUCUGAUUAUAGUAUUUCGAUGGGAGUCCACAAGGAAAUCUCAGGGCUGUAGGCU